AAUAACUUUUAAAUAGUAGAAAAAGAGAAUGUCUUUUUGUUUGUUGUUAUUGACGAAUGCUUUUAAUUGCUUGAAAUAUUUUUUAAGGCGUAAUUUCUUGAAAUGUGUGCUAGCCCCUUAAGUGCUUGAGUAAAAAAUUGAAAAAGAAUUAUAAAUCACUGACUAAAUUUAACUGUGUCGAUUGUAAAUCGAUGAUAAUAAUAAUAAUAAUUAAUAAUAAUGAUUAAUAAUAGUCACUUUAUUAACUAAUUUGUCCAAAAAAUGUUGCAAGUGUGCUGAUAAGCGACACUUUUUGGCCAAUGCUUUAGUCGUAUUUUUUUACCUAAGGCAAAUUGUUUUACUGUAUGUUUUAUUCAAUAGCGCUGCUAAUCAAUUUUGUCAUUUGUGUAAAUAUUAUGUUUUUAUAAUAUAUACAUAUAUUUAUUAACGAUUCACUUUAUAUGCAUUACGCAGUUAUCAAUAAAACGAUAACUUCGAAGUUUUGUUUUAAACUUAAAGUCGUUCAUGUUUCGAAAUUGUUAGUAGUUGGUUAUUUUCAUUUGCGUCCAAGCAGUUUAAGGAAUAUAAUAGUUUUAUUGUUGCUACUGUUGUUAAAUUAAAUGUUUAUUUUGCUUGCUGUUAAUCAGAAGUAGUCAGAGUAAUAAAUUUAAAUAAUAGUGACUGUGCAAGAGAAACGAAAACUGAUACCGGAGACGAAAAGAUUUAAAUAUCAACUGAAGUACAUCAUUACUGAACUGCAUUUGUAUACAAAGACACAGAGGCAGUGAAAUCAAGGUAUGAGUGAUCAUAAAAGAAGAACUUGGAAGAGGACUCAAUAGUAGACAAAGGUUUUUUUUAUAUUUUUAGAUAUGAUGUGCCUUUUUCUCCAUGAAAAACAUAAUGGUCACAAGAUGAUGCUAAUAGUCAAGAAAAGGAUUUUUGUCAACAACUUGGCUACUUCUUAGUUGCAGUAGGAACUGAUGUAAUUUAAAAAAGGCUACUUUAUUCAGAAACAGCUUCUAAUUUCUUUGGAGCAAGAAAGACAAAGAAGGCCUACACAAUAGAUAGAAUGAAAAGCACUGAAAGAAUUCUUCCUGUGUUAGGCUUGCUGUCCAAACUGAUAAAACGUUGGAACGUUGCAUUCUGCAGUUAACUAAGAUCAAGAUGAAUGAGAAACACUAAAACAACAUGUUACCCUUCUUCCUGUAUUUGCCUUACUCUUUACACUUGUAAAACUUUGGAACGUUGCAUGCUGCAGUUAAUUAAGGGUACAGUUGGUUAUCUGGAAUAGGAGCAAUAGGCGACUGCCCAGCUUGUCUUGGGGAAAUCUGUCCGUUCUUCUCUACCUAAGCUAUUACUAUUUACCGUUAGUCCUGUUAAUUUUGCACUAUUUGCUUUCAGAUAAUGAGGUAUUACCUAAGAAGAAUGUAGACAUCUCAUACAUCUUCUACAAUUAUUGUAUUUUCUUUUUUAUUUGUUUCUUAACUGUUGAAUUACCUAAUAUAACUUUAGCUUAGGCUGAUAGGUAAAACUUUUCUAAAUUGGUUUUUUAGCAAAAUUGUUGAAAGCAAAUUACAUAUUUAUUAACACAUUCAUAAUUAAGAUUCAUUUGGGGGGGAUAAGGUGGCUACAAGGAGAGAUGUGGAGGAAACAGAAAGUUAGGGAGGCAUUCUUGCCUCAAAUAUAAUAUUUAAAUAUUAAUUCAGUC
Molecule: long non-coding RNA, 1687 nt
Filed under: Agrilus planipennis (emerald ash borer)
Lineage: Eukaryota; Metazoa; Arthropoda; Insecta; Coleoptera; Buprestidae
Description: uncharacterized LOC108741143, transcript variant X1
Source: RNAcentral